UAGGGAAUCUUCCGCAAUGGACGAAAGUCUGACGGAGCAACGCCGCGUGAGUGAAGAAGGAUUUCGGUUCGUAAAACUCUGUUGUUAGGGAAGAAAAAAUGUAUAGUAACUAUAUACAAAAGAGACGGUACCUAACCAGAAAGCCACGGCUAACUACGUGCCAGCAGCCGCGGUAAUACGUAGGUGGCAAGCGUUGUCCGGAAUUAUUGGGCGUAAAGCGCGCGCAGGUGGUUUAGAAAGUCUGUUGUGAAAGCCCACGGCUCAACCGUGGGGGGUCAGUGGAAACUAAUACACUUGAGUGCAGGGGAGAAAAGUGGAAUUCCUAGUGUAGCGGUGAAAUGCGUAGAGAUUAGGAGGAGCACCGGUGGCGAAAGCGGCUUUUUGGCCUGCAACUGACACUGAGGCGCGAAAGCAUGGGGAGCAAACAAG
RNAcentral lists this ribosomal RNA (429 nucleotides) under Verrucomicrobiota bacterium. Its description in RNAcentral is "Verrucomicrobia bacterium partial 16S ribosomal RNA". It matches the Rfam family "Bacterial small subunit ribosomal RNA", at positions 355 to 776 of the family's 1533-position model. Lineage: Bacteria; Pseudomonadati; Verrucomicrobiota. The record is from RNAcentral.